AAAUAUUUACUUUAUACUAAUGUCACAAUAUCUAUUUCUCUCUCUGCUACUGGAGAUGUAUUAGAACAAUAUUAUGAAAUAUUGAAGGGUGAAUGGGAUAAAUGGAGUGUAAAUAGAACAAAAAACAUGGCUAUAUCUGAUAGAUUCUUGACAUAGACCCUACAUUGGAAGAUGACUUUUAGUUUCAAUGUAUGACCAGAAUGCAAGGUAAAAUAAAUUUGACUAAUUAUAAAAACAUAUAUUUCAAAACAUUCCAUCAUGAAUGCCAAUUGGUACAAGAACUGCAAUAAAUAAUAAUAAGUUGCGAGCCACUAGUCUCCAAUCAUUUGGUACUGCAUAAGAUAUAAAUUUGUUAUUAAUUCUAGACAUAUAAAAGAAAUUAAAUACUUACUUCGUGACUUGCACAUAUAAAGAUGAAUGAUGUAACUAAAAGAUUUAAUACUGGAAAUCUUGGUAAUAAAACUAAUACACCAUGCGAAUCUGCUGCCAACCAAAUGUGACCUUGUGCGACUAGAGUUUCUAAGCUGAUGCGACCUAAACCAGUCAAAAGAGCUGAAUGUUUACCACGUAAUGCUAAUGAAGCAUUUCUAAGUGCAAUGUAACCUAUAAUCUGUAAUUAAAAAAUUGAAAUUUAAUCGUUUGAAAAUAAAUUUGAAAAUAAAUUAUAAUUCAUAAAUUA
Apis mellifera (honey bee) is the source of this 679-nucleotide RNA transcript. It is a transcript of the gene named mpv17-like protein 2, with no coding region annotated. The transcript has 5 exons. Lineage: Eukaryota; Metazoa; Arthropoda; Insecta; Hymenoptera; Apidae. The record is from RefSeq and is a predicted model, not a curated record.